Molecule: non-coding RNA, 3670 nt
Organism: Dermacentor andersoni
Lineage: Eukaryota; Metazoa; Arthropoda; Arachnida; Ixodida; Ixodidae
Source: RefSeq, a predicted model, not a curated record
CCGGCUUCGCGCUAUUGGCUAGUCGCUCAUAGCACUUCUGGGCGACGAGCGACGAUUUCUAGAUUUCCAGAACCGAGCCAUCUGUUCAAGCGACGGCCCGUUUUGUCGCUCGUCGCCGUCGCGCACUAAAUCGCUCUCACAGUGUUUAUCCCUAAGACUGAACUGUUUUUGCUCAUGUUGAAAUGGUGUGAUUAUAGGUCUGGUUUUGUCUCCUGUUGCGGUUUUCGUGCACGGUGCGAAACUGAAAGGAUGCUUAUGUCUACGAACUCGGUGAAUUGUCGAGCAGCUAGUUACGCAUCGGCAUCGAAUAUAACGGCUGCUGUGUGGAAUUACAAUUGCAGGGGCGCUUUGCAUACGCUUAUUGUUUUGGACAUGCCUGUGCAUUUGCUAAUAUGAGUUGGCUUGUCAGAGUUAUGUCAUAUGAACAGCUAAAUCAGCCUUCCUCUGGGUGUUACAAGCGUAAUGUGUGCAUUUUGCUAUAGCAUGGCAGAAUAUGAUGUGUUUAUCGCUUGAAUAUUUUUAGUAGAGAAAUAAAAUAUCAAAAUAAAAUGUUGCUUUAAUUCCGUGUUACCAUUCUGUCGUACACAGAACAAUAGGUUGGUGUAAUAAACUAAUAACUGCGGUUUAACUGCAACUUUUACAUGCCUACAAGAAUCUAAAAUGCUAGAUUUCAAACUGCAGCAGUAGUCGGGUCUGUCAAAAAUGAACUCCACUGCGCACCUCAUGCAUGAAAAUAAGUUCAUGCCUUUUAGUAAGCUUAGAUGCAGGCCGCAGUGAACUUGUUAGUAUUGAAAUGUGGGUAAGCUUGCCAUAACAAGCCUUGUUGCCCUUCUUUAUAGGCACAUCCAUAUAUCCAUUGAGCUGAAGGACAAUAUUUUCAUCCCUACUGAGCAUCAUGUUUGCAGCUAUAAUCCUCAAAUUAUGGCUUCAGCAGUGGCACAACCAGGCAUGGUGCGGGGGGGUGGGGGGGCACACUGGGCACGUGCUUAGGAUGUGUCACAAGUGGUGUUUGCGAUACACCAGACUCAUGACAGACCUAUGACGUCUGAAAAUGACCAAUAUUCUAUUCAUUAGCAGGAGUAUUCUAACAUUCAUGAAAAACAAGGAUGAACUGUGGUUUGUUUUUUUGCUUAAAUCUAAAAAUUGAAGUUAGUUUAGCAGUUGACUGUUUCAGUCAUUUGGAUGUUUUGCAUGCAUUUCACUAGGAAGACUAAGAGCUAAGACUUUUUUAUUGCCAUUGCCUUGACUGUCUUGAUGUUGUUUUGCACCAUGUCCUUGUGUUGACUUUUGCAUACGAUAUUUUUCAGGCAGCCGCUUUAUAUAACGCAAGAAGGCAGCUGCAAGGACACGAGGAUGUGAAAGAGCCAGUGCAGCGCGACUUCACGUAGUGUAGAGGAGCCAAUGCCAAAAAAUCAAAAUACAUUGGCAUGUUAUUUGGACAAGAAAACUAGUAUGGACAACCCAGGACGUGCAUUUCUCAGCACCCAGUCAACUGCCAAAAGUGACUCAAACACAGGCCACCAGUGGAACUCGGCUGUACCACUGCAGUGCUGCGGAAAUUGCCUUCACCAGCGGCUUUGCAACAGCUGUUUCGCAGCAUGUCGGAGAUAAUGCCUACGAAAUUAUUGGCCCUGAUCAUGAGAGCCCUCAAGGGGCAAACAACAUCUCUGUUGCAGAAGUGAGCCCGGUACCACUUGGAAGUUACCAUGACAGAUGACACGGCAGCAAUAGAUACAGAGACUGCCACGUCUACUGCAGCUGCAACAGUGUACGAGGCAAGCAGCAGCGCGUCAGCAGCAGUGUCAGAAGGAACCACACCAGGCCUGGUAGAGCAACAUGUGUGCUAUCACUGACUUUUUUUGUAGUGGAUACAACUCAUUUGCUCAACAUACAAAAGCUUUUCACCACGACUGUGAGCCAGUGUUAUUGUGCAGCAAGUGCAAGACUAAGUUAAGUGUUAUAACACAGUACAAGCAUCACUUUAACAUAUGAAAACAUAUUACAGUUGUUGCCUCCCCAGCCAGCCCACAUAGCCACAACAAUGUUGAACACAUGGUGGGACACACAUCUUCUCCAUUAGAAGAUAGUAGAGACUAUCAGUGUUGUUGUUAGAUUAACUGGUCUUUGUAGGCAACUAGGACAACACAGGUGUCAUAAGAUUGUUGUUGAUGUUGUUGUUGAAGAGGUAAAAAAGAAGUUCGAUGCAGCUGAAGUGCCAACUGAUAUUGAGCAAAUCAAAAGCAACCACCUGAGAAAGCAACACUAUCGAAAUUUGGGUAUCUAUGUGCCGCCAACUCUGGUAAGAAUGGCAUAGGACAGAAGUGUGAUGAAAAUCAGAGACACUGCUGUUGCAUCACUGGCCACAGUGAGCAGCGACUUGUAGGGCAAGAGAGUCAACUGAAACUAACAUUAUGAUAUAGUGUCAUGCUCCCAUGUGACCACUUUUCAAGUUAUUUUGCAAGAUACAGCUCAACCUCCAGAAACGAGACUGCAAGUUGUCUGUAAAAAAGCUUUCACAAAAUAUUAUUCAUAGCACUAUUAACAUAGCAGUAUCUUUUUUUUUGUGUUGGUUCGAGGUUCCCGGCUGUCCAUUAAUGCAAAAAUUGAGGAAAAAAAGAACAUGUGUCGUACUUACACCUUUUUAACAAGUACGAGGUGGACAGAACUUUUCUAGUCAUGCAUCUUCAUCAUACUAUCAAGUUUUUAAAUGCCUUUUAUAAUUUUUAUUACCAAUUAUAUCUGAGUGCAUUGUAUGCAUGUAGCAGGUGUAAAAUCAGGUCAGUUGGAUCAGAUGCCUUAUCUGCAAGCGAGCCCUAUAUUCAAGAAAUUUGAAAUAAAAUAGUUACGUUAGAGACGCAGUCUUUCAGCACUUUAUUGCCUGUGGUUUAAGCAUUGCUCAAUACUUUUGUGGGUGGCAAUUUCAACCGGCACAGCACUGCGCUUUGCCACAGUCACAUUUGUCUUCAAAGCGGUGUUUACCAUUUGUGUUGAUCUGUUUGUGUAUGCAUAGAGCAAGUUUUUAAUUUAUAUUUUUCUGCAUUCUUGUGCUUGCACUAAGCUUGUAUAAGGCAGUUACAAAAUGUGCGGCACUAUAACGAACUGUUCUGUUGAGCUUACACUUGCAAAUAAUCGUGUUCAGAUGGCCGCACUUCUAUGCGGGUGCACCGCUAGCUUUGUGUAUGUUCUCAUGUUUGUAUAAAGCUUAUAUAAGCUAGUUAGAAAAUGUAUGUCACUAAGCAUUGUGAUAUUCUUUAAAGAACUGCUUGGUUGGUUUUACACUUGUGAAUUAGUAUUGAGGCGGUGGUAUUCCCAUGUAUGCCCACUGCUAGCUUUCUGUGUCCUCACGUGUUUGUAUUAAGUUUCUACAAGGGAGUUACAGCAUGUACGUCACUAAGCGCUGUGAUAUUUUUUAAAGAACUGCUUUGUUGGUUUUACACCUGUGAGUAAUAGUACUCGUGUGGCACUAGUCAUGUGUAGGUACACAGGGACCAUUUGUAUACAUUAUGCUCAUGUAAAGCAGUUACAAAGUGUAUGUCACUAAUUACUGUGAUAUUUGUUGAAUUGCUGUGAUGGUUUUACACAUGUGAAUAAUAAUGGUCAGGACACAGUACUUGCGGUGCAUAGUUGAAUUUAUACACUGCCAAGACAUGGGCUGUAUACGUACCAAAAG